AUGAGAAUUGCAGGAUACCUGGAUCAUCGAUCUGUCGAACGCACAUUGC
This 49-nucleotide ribosomal RNA is filed under the name Paraturbanella sp. NBP-2014. Its description in RNAcentral is "partial 5.8S ribosomal RNA". The record is from RNAcentral. Lineage: Eukaryota; Metazoa; Gastrotricha; Macrodasyida; Turbanellidae.